This 253-nucleotide ribosomal RNA is filed under the name uncultured bacterium. RNAcentral describes it as "partial 16S ribosomal RNA". It matches the Rfam family "Bacterial small subunit ribosomal RNA", at positions 524 to 776 of the family's 1533-position model. The record is from RNAcentral.
UACGUAGGGUGCGAGCGUUAAUCGGAAUUACUGGGCGUAAAGCGUGCGCAGGCGGUUUUGUAAGACAGCUGUGAAAUCCCCGGGCUCAACCUGGGAACUGCGGUUGUGACUGCAAGACUGGAGUGUGACAGAGGGGGGUGGAAUUCCACGUGUAGCAGUGAAAUGCGUAGAGAUGUGGAGGAACACCGAUGGCGAAGGCAGCCCCCUGGGUCAACACUGACGCUCAUGCACGAAAGCGUGGGGAGCAAACAGG